RNAcentral lists this non-coding RNA (160 nucleotides) under Actinomycetes bacterium. RNAcentral describes it as "Actinobacteria bacterium 6S RNA". It matches the Rfam family "6S / SsrS RNA". Rfam says of the family: E. coli 6S RNA was the first non coding RNA to be sequenced, but its function was unknown until recently. It consists of 184 nucleotides that fold into an extended hairpin structure with a large single-stranded internal bulge. The 6S RNA specifically associates with RNA polymerase holoenzyme containing the sigma70 specificity factor. The record is from RNAcentral. Lineage: Bacteria; Bacillati; Actinomycetota; Actinomycetes.
GGUGCUCGACCCUGUACGUGGCCUCGUCGCAAACUGUUGAACCAACAGCACUACAAAGGGAGCCUGCGUCCGACAAGCCUUCGGGCGUAGUCGGCAGGGCACCCACCUGGCUCGUCCAGGUUCGCAAUGCGGCGGGGAGCAUCGGCAGGGUGGGGCACUU